Molecule: ribosomal RNA, 355 nt
Filed under: uncultured bacterium
Lineage: Bacteria
Description: bacterial SSU rRNA
Rfam family: Bacterial small subunit ribosomal RNA
Source: RNAcentral
GUAUGGUGCAAGCGUUAUCCGGAUUUACUGGGUGUAAAGGGAGCGUAGACGGUUGUGUAAGUCUGAUGUGAAAGCCCGGGGCUCAACCCCGGGACUGCAUUGGAAACUAUGUAACUAGAGUGUCGGAGAGGUAAGCGGAAUUCCUAGUGUAGCGGUGAAAUGCGUAGAUAUUAGGAGGAACACCAGUGGCGAAGGCGGCUUACUGGACGAUCACUGACGUUGAGGCUCGAAAGCGUGGGGAGCAAACAGGAUUAGAUACCCUGGUAGUCCACGCCGUAAACGAUGACUACUAGGUGUCGGGGAGCAAAGCUCUUCGGUGCCGCAGCAAACGCAAUAAGUAGUCCACCUGGGGAGU